RNAcentral lists this ribosomal RNA (158 nucleotides) under Cordyceps takaomontana. RNAcentral's name for it is "5.8S rRNA". It matches the Rfam family "5.8S ribosomal RNA". From Rfam's summary of the family: 5.8S ribosomal RNA (5.8S rRNA) is a component of the large subunit of the eukaryotic ribosome. It is transcribed by RNA polymerase I as part of the 45S precursor that also contains 18S and 28S rRNA. Functionally, it is thought that 5.8S rRNA may be involved in ribosome translocation. The record is from RNAcentral. Lineage: Eukaryota; Fungi; Ascomycota; Sordariomycetes; Hypocreales; Cordycipitaceae.
AAACUUUCAACAACGGAUCUCUUGGUUCUGGCAUCGAUGAAGAACGCAGCGAAAUGCGAUACGUAAUGUGAAUUGCAGAAUUCCGUGAAUCAUCGAAUCUUUGAACGCACAUUGCGCCCGCCAGCAUUCUGGCGGGCAUGCCUGUUCGAGCGUCAUCU